UACGGAGGAGGCAAGCGUUAUCCGGAUUUAUUGGGCGUAAAGCGUCCGCAGGUGGCAGUUCAAGUCUGCUGUCAAAGACAGUGGCUCAACUACUGAAAGGCAGCAAAUACUGAGCAGCUAGAGUGCGGUAGGGGCAGAGGGAAUUCCCGGUGUAGCGGUGAAAUGCGUAGAUUUCGGGAAGAACAUCGGUGGCGAAAGCGCUCUGCUGGACCGCAACUGACACUCAGGGACGAAAGCUAGGGGAGCGAAUGGG
Molecule: ribosomal RNA, 253 nt
Filed under: uncultured bacterium
Lineage: Bacteria
Description: partial 16S ribosomal RNA
Rfam family: Bacterial small subunit ribosomal RNA
Source: RNAcentral